Syngnathoides biaculeatus (alligator pipefish) is the source of this 798-nucleotide long non-coding RNA. RefSeq lists it as uncharacterized. The record is from RefSeq and is a predicted model, not a curated record. NCBI's taxonomy places the organism in Eukaryota, Metazoa, Chordata, Actinopteri, Syngnathiformes, Syngnathidae. The transcript is spliced from 3 exons.
CCAUGCCCUGUUCCUAUACUCCCGUAUUCUUGAUCGUGAACCCUAGUGUACCGACCUCCGCUUGUCCUCCGACCGACCCCACCUGCUCUCUAUGCCUGAUGUCUUAGUUACCGCUGCUCUACUUGACUGUCUGCAUGAUCCCCGACCUUGAAACCUGCGUCUCCGGAGUCCUGCAUUCGGGUCCUCCUCCGUACCGAUGGGUCGUAACAGAACAAUCUGGCCAACACAGGACCCAGCAGGAAAGACCCGGCGUUGCUGCGCGAGAAUGUCUUGGUACAGAAGAGUGGGGUAGUUGCUGAUCCUGAGCAGUGGAGACUGAGAACCCUACCCAAUCAAUUGAAGGGAUGUAUCGGAACCAGGGAUCCAACCAAGAGCAAACUGGAAGAGGGGACAGGUCCCACACCGAGAGAUGCAGGGCUGUCUGCUGACCUCACCGAGGCGCCUCGGCAACUGACCACCUGGCCUCAGGGACCUAAUGACAGGUUGGAGGGAGAUCUGUCUUCUACGCAUACUGCAGGUAAAGUCUUCUUCUCAAUGCUGAAGGCAUCUGCGCAUGCCCAAACUUGAGCGCAUUAUAGGGAAUAGCCAUGUUUUAAGAAGUACACACGUUUUUAGGGUGACUUGUAGUGCCAUUUGUUCUCCAACAACAACAACGCUAUUUCCAGGUCAAUUGCACCUUUGGUAGUGUAUUUAGUGAGAAAAAUAGAAGACAAAGAAACAUGUAAAAGACUUAUUUUACCUACUGGAUAUAUACACACACUACACUACAUAAGCCCUAGACCACCAUGGGAUUUGUAG